Molecule: long non-coding RNA, 546 nt
Filed under: Macaca mulatta (Rhesus monkey)
Lineage: Eukaryota; Metazoa; Chordata; Mammalia; Primates; Cercopithecidae
Description: lncRNA (ENSMMUG00000054839.1)
Source: RNAcentral
CCUCCCUUUACUCUGGCCACUCUGAAUGUCAUUGGUCCUCCUUGAGCCCUCCUGAGCCCUCUGCCCAGAGUAAUGCCAGAGUGGAGGCCACGGCUGAAGGCAGAGGGACUUGAUUUUCUACAAGUGGUACUCCAAGAGGCUCCUACACUUCAGCAGGGAGGUGAGCACCGUUUUGCGGUGGCCGGGCUGGCGAGGAGGUGCAGACCCCAGCCAGCUGGAGGGGCUCUGCCCUGGUGGCAUUCCCACUCCCACCUAUUCGCAGGGCGCCGGGGAGGGCUGCAGGUGUUCUAUUGCCACCCGGCUUGCAGCGCAAGGAGGGGAAUCGCCUGGCCUUCCCCUUCUCCCCUGCCCCGCUUCCUUUCUCUGCUCCCACAGGUGGAAGUCACCAGCGGAAACAACCCUUCACCAUUUGGAGGGCUGGGAGAGAGGGGCCACGAGGGCCCCGGGAGAGCCACCCGGGCUGCAGGCAAGGGGCGGGGCAGGGACCGAAGGGUGAAGGGCAAGGGGAGCUCAGGGAAUGAACGAAUGCUCCCGACUGAUGUUUAA